CCUACGGGUGGCAGCAGUGGGGAAUAUUGCGCAAUGGGGGCAACCCUGACGCAGCAACGCCGCGUGAUUGAAGACGGCCUUCGGGUUGUAAAGAUCUUUAAUCGGGGACGAAUUUUGACGGUACCCGAAGAAUAAGCUCCGGCUAACUACGUGCCAGCAGCCGCGGUAAUACGUAGGGAGCAAGCGUUAUCCGGAUUUACUGGGUGUAAAGGGCGUGUAGGCGGGCAUGCAAGCCAGAAGUGAAAUCUGGGGGCUUAACCCCCAAACUGCUUUUGGAACUGCGUGUCUGGAGUGUGUGAGAGGAUAGUGGAAUUCCAGGUGUAGGAGUGAAAUCCGUAGAUAUCGGGAGGAACAUCAGUGGCGAAGGCGACUAUCUGGCACAUAACUGACGCUGAGGAGCGAAAGCGUGGGUAGCAAACAGGAUUAGAUACCCUGGUAGUC
Molecule: ribosomal RNA, 441 nt
Filed under: uncultured bacterium
Lineage: Bacteria
Description: partial 16S ribosomal RNA
Rfam family: Bacterial small subunit ribosomal RNA
Source: RNAcentral